This 2041-nucleotide long non-coding RNA is filed under the name Theobroma cacao (cacao). RNAcentral describes it as "long non-coding RNA (TCAC_LNC003922)". Lineage: Eukaryota; Viridiplantae; Streptophyta; Magnoliopsida; Malvales; Malvaceae. The record is from RNAcentral.
UCUAUACAAAACAAAAUAACACUCGACUUCCAGCGGAGUGACUCGGAUGAAUAUACAGCUACCGAAUGCCGAGACACCUACCAAAAGAUGGACACAAGUCUACAAGGACACCUCGUCCUAGUUACCGGCUGCCUCGUGAUCUGAAAACAUGAAUUUGAAAAUGGUGAGUAUAAACCCAGUGAGUGAACAAGGAAGGGAACAAGCAACAACAACAAGGGAGAAUUUAAAAUCAUGAUGCACUUGUUUCAAAACAAUGCAAUUUAGUUCCAUUCAUAUUAAAAACCCCUCAUUUUAAACUUAACUCAUUUUGUCCUGAAUGUUAGAAGUCCAUGCUCAGAUAUGGUAGCAAAAAAGUGAAAAAUAGGGUAGCAAUUGGACAAGAUAAAAGACAAAACAGAAAGUUUUUCGCUGCAGCGAGAUUGGAUCUCGCUGCAGCGAAAUUUCUACCCAGAAACAGAAUGUUUCUCGUUGCAGCGAGAUUCAGGGAAAUUGCAACCCAGAAAACAGAAAGUUUCUCGCUGCAGCGAGAAGCUACAAUUUCAUUCUCGCUGCAGUGAAAAUGCAUUCUCGCUGCAUCAAGUUUUCGGUUAGUGUACCCCUCCAAACCUGAGAGUUUCUCGCUGCAGCGAAAUACAGGGCAUCAAUGCAAAAUUUACCUUUCUCCCAAAGGAAAAACCACCCUGCCAAAAGGUCCAAACCAACAUGAAAACACAUAACAAUUUCUCAAGGUUUAACAUGUCAAGUUUCACAUGCAUUACAACCAUAACCCAUUAUCCAUCAAUUUCCUAUAACACACAUAUUUACAUAUAUAUAUAUAUAUAUAUACGUAUAUACCCAUCAUCAUCAUCUCACCAACCCAUCAUCAUCAUCACCAGCUCAUCAUCAUCAUCACCAGCUCAUGCGCACUCCCUACUCGCACAUGGCUGGGUCAUCACCGGGUUAUGCGCACUCCCUACUCGCACAUAACCGGGUCAUCCUCGGCUUAUGCGCACUCCCUACUCGCACAUAGCCGAGUCAACAUAAUUACACAACAUUAUAUUCAAGCAUAUAUGUAUAUCAACAUAAUGCAGCCACAUAGAAAUCCAUAAUAACCACAUUUCAUAACAUAAACCUUUUCUCAAAAGCUUGUUCCCAAGGCAUUCAUUUUCAUGAAAAAUUGCAUAAAAUCAUUCAAACACUUUGUUCAAAACAGUCAUAUUCCCAAAACAAUUUUGAUAGGCAGUCCACUCACAGGUGUCGAAAAUCCGGAUUCCGGGUGAACUCUGACUAAUAGUCCUCAAGCGCAAUUCCUUUGCCUUUUCCGGACGUCUCACCACCUUGACAAAUAACAAAGUCGAGGAAUUUACUAUAUUGUCCCUAAAUUGAUAUAAAUUAAUUUAAAUUACUAAUGCUUGAUAUGUAAAUGCAAAAAUAUGUCCGAUUACCGCUUAAUCACGGUAUCGAUUAAAUUCGACCGAUCACCCGAUUAAUUGGCGAUUGUGUCCAAAUCACCUCCAAAUUAAUCCAUUUCUCCUCUAAUACCUUAAUUUACCACAUAACAUUUAAAUAAAGCCAAAUUCAGCAUUAGAACCCUCACAGUUCCUUAUAGAAAAAUUUGGUCAUUUGGUGCACUAGCAUCGAAUUUUUUUCUACAUAACCGUUUCACCUUAAUUCAUCAUUUUCCAAGCCAUUUUCCUUGAAAUAAAAACAAUCCCCCAUUGAUAUUCAGCCCUCAUGGUUCGACCAACAAGGAACCCUAGAGAAAUUGAAUAUUUCUUUUGUGUUUUUGUUCAUAACCAUGCUUAACUAUCCCUAAACACUAACAUAGUCUAAAAUCAAAUUAUUCCAACAACAAUUCCUCUUCCAUACCCAUUUUUCAGAAUUGAAUUCAUCAUGAUAACUCAAUAUUCAACCAUGGAAAUCAAGAACAAAAGCAUGGGUAAGCUAGGUAUCAAGGAGAAUUAAAGAAAUUUUAACUUACCUAGCUUGUUUCCUUGAUUUCUUCACUUUUUCUUUGAAUUUCCACCUAGGUUUUCUUGUUUUUCCUUUUGUUCUUCCUUUU